This 1309-nucleotide small RNA is filed under the name Pan troglodytes (chimpanzee). RNAcentral's name for it is "retained intron". The record is from RNAcentral. Lineage: Eukaryota; Metazoa; Chordata; Mammalia; Primates; Hominidae.
GAGAGAAUUGCAAAUUUUUAUUGUAAAGACAACUGGGGAUUCUUUUAUAUCCCAUAUUGCUACAUGGUUAAUAAAUCUGGAUGACUAAAGACCAGCUCAACUUUUUGUUUUUUCUUAUUUAAAAAUUUUUUUUUUUACUUAAAAAUUUUUUUUUCUUUCAACUUUUAAGUUCAGGGGUACAUGUGCAGGAUGUGCAGGUUUGUUGCAAAGGUUAAUGUGUGCCAUGGUGGUUUGCUGCAAAGAUCAUCCCGUCACCUAGGUAUUAAGCCCAGCAUCCAUUAGCUAUUCUUCCCCAUGCUCUCCCUCCCUUGUUUUUUCUAAAACAAAUUUCAUAUACAAACCAUAGGCUUCUUAGAGGAAUAAAGGGAAUUGAUGAAUAUGUAUUACUUUUGAAAUAAGGCAAAGGAGGAAAACCUCACGUUUUAAGAAGGGAGAGACAAGAGACCACUAUUUGGUUAUGGGAUGAAUGCAGGGUAAGGACUGCCCUUUCAGGGUGGGGUGGCGGGUGGUGGGGCUGCAGGAGGCCCUGGCCCAGCUUCUCUCUCUGGCUUUCAGGGAUGGCCUGCACGGUGGCUGGUCGGGUGCUCAGGGAGACUCCGCCAGCUCGAGUGAUGAGACAUCCUCAGCCAACGGGGACAGCUUGUUCUCCAUGUUUUCAGGGCCUGACCUCGUUGCUGCUGUCAAGCAGAGAAGGAAACACAGCAGUGGAGAGCAAGACACCAGCACGCUGCCCUCACCGCCUCUCCUCACCACGGUGGAGGACGUGAACCAGGAUAACAAAACCAAAACGUGGCCACCCAAAGCACCCUGGCAGCACCCUUCCCCGCUUCCCAGCACGCUGCCCAGCCCCAGCGCACCACUCUAUGCAGUCACCAGCCCUGGCAGCCAGUGGAACGACACCAUGCAGAUGCUGCAGUCCCCAGUGUGGGCUGCAACCAACGACUGCAGUGCCGCUGCCUUCUCCUAUGUGCAGACCCCACCACAGCCCCCACCCCCACCAGCACACAAGGCAGCACCCAAGGGCUUCAAGGCCUUCCCUGGGAAGGGUGAGCGCAGGCCAGCCUAUCUGCCCCAGUACUGACCCCAGGCCAGCCAGCCUGCCUGCCUGCCCGCCCAGAGCUGUGGGGAUGAGUGUCCCCACCCCAGGGCCACCUAGCUGACACCAGCCCCUCAGAGGACCAGUGCGCCCCAUCCCAGGGAGGGUUCCUUGGGGACAAGGGUGGUUGGCAGCUCCAAGCCUUUAAACCUGGCUUCUGAAACGAUGGCGGCAUCAGAGCCCUGGAGAGCCAGCUGGAGACACAGGCGUCUG